AUUGAACGCUGGCGGCAGGCCUAACACAUGCAAGUCGAACGAGUGGCGGAAGGGGGAGCAAUGUCUGGGAAACUGCCUGAUGGAGGGGGAUAACUACUGGAAACGGUAACUAAUAACGCAUACCAUAAGAUGUGCCAAGUGGGGAUUAGCUAGUUGGUGGGGUAACGGCUUACCAAGGCGACGAUCCCUAGCUGGUCUGAGAGGAUGACCGGCCACACUGGAACUGAGACACGGUCCAGACUCCUACGGGAGGCAGCAGUGGGGAAUCUUCCACAAUGGACGAAAGUCUGAUGCAGCCAUGCCGCGUGAAUGAAGAAGGCCUUCGGAUUGUAAAGUACUGUCAGUGGGGAAGCGUUACCCGCAGAGAAAGCACCGGCUAACUACGUGCCAGCAGCCGCGGUAAUAC
Molecule: ribosomal RNA, 406 nt
Filed under: uncultured bacterium
Lineage: Bacteria
Description: partial 16S ribosomal RNA
Rfam family: Bacterial small subunit ribosomal RNA
Source: RNAcentral